GUUUACAAAAUUGUACAAAUGUCAAAUUCUCACGUAGGGAGAAAUUAGUAAUCUACUUUUGCAUUGAUUAUGACUACGUGCUAAAAUAGAUGUUUAUGUUAAUAAUAGCUGUAAGUGCUUUACAUUUCUUUACCAAUCAAAUGCCGUUCUAUAUAAAUAUGUUAAGUUCAUUUAGAUUUGGACUAAACCAAGACUAUGUUAAACAAAAGGACUAAACCACCUCCACUGCAACUCAUAAACCAGUACUAACCAAUAUGACUAAAUUAUUGUUUUAGUUGUACCCCAGGACUCUUCCAGGUUCGUUUAAAUCUAAAUUGUGUGAUCAAAUUGCACCAUGUAUUCCUUUAAUUUUCAGAGUAACUGUAAGUAACUAUAUUCUGAAUACCAGUAAAUAAAGGUAAUAAGAGUACUUUGCUGCAACACAGUUAAAAUUAGUACAUGUAUUUAGUUACUUCCCUACAGAGUACAAAUUUGGAAUCUGAUCAUUGUUAUUAGUGGAAAAAAACUCCAUUGUCACUCUCAACAACCACACACACACACAGAAAUGUACACAUAAACAAUGCCCCCAUCUCGCCUAUAUACGCCUAUAGAAAAUCGUGAUGCCAUCUGAUGAGCUGGCACUGCCCGGGCAUGUUUCCAGUGGGGGAUUAGGGCUGAGGAAAUGGCGCAGGACGGCUGAUACAUGACAUGGCUAAAAUUAACUGUGUUGUUGAAUAAAGAAGAGUAAAAAUAGCGUUCACUGGCACGACGUGGAAAUUGACAUAUCUCAAAAUGAAGUUUGUUUGCAUCAGUGCAGACCACAGAUCACGAGUGCUGUGGUCAGAGUAGCACUUCUACUUUGUUUACUGUGAAUGUACGAACUAAACUAGGUCACAAGCAGGUCAAAACCAGGACUAAACCGUGUCUAAACUUGGUCUCUAAACUAAGACUAAACCAGGACUAAACUUGGUCUAUAAACCAGGACUAAAGUCGGUCUAAACUUGGACUAGACCAGAACUAAACUAGGUCUAAACCAUGACUAAACCAGGGCUCAACCAGGUCUAAACAAGAAUUAAACCAGAACUAAACUAGGUCUAAACUUGUUCUAAACCCAUACUAAACCAGAUCUAAAUUUUUAAAACUUUGAAACCAGAACUAAUCUAGGUCUAAACUUGGACUAAACCAGGUCUAAACUAGGACAAAAGUAGAACUAAACUAGGUCAAAACUUGGUCUAAACCAGGACUAAACUUGGACUUAACUAGAACUUAACUAGGUCUAAAUUUGGUUUAAACUAGGACUAAACCAGGUCUAAUUUUGGACUAAACAAGAAAUAAACCAGGUCUAAACUUGGACAAAAACAGAACUUAACUAGAUCUAAACUUGGUCUAAACCAGAACUAAACCAGUUCUAAACUUGGACAAAACCAGAACUUAACUAGGUCUAAACUUAGUUUAAACCAGGACUAAACCAGUACAUGACUUGGACUAAACCAGAACUUAACUAGGUCUAGAUCUGGUCUAAACCAGUACUAAACCAGGUCUAAACUUGGGCUAAACCACACAAGGGAUUAGUAAAUCCUCAACCAGAAACUGUGAUUCAGGUAUGGUGUCUAAAUCAAACGUACACCAUAACAGUAGGUCUUAACCAGGACAAAAUAAAUUCUAAACCAACAUUAAAAGAAGAUUAAACCAGGAUUAGACCAGUAUUAUGUCAGAAAAAUACCACACCAUUAACACUACAAUUAAGAGAGUGGGAGUGGGAAAUGAGAACAAGCUCUAAUUUGGUAAAGAAGAAAUUCUAAACCAAGAAUAGACAGGGAUGAACUUUUAUUUAAACCACUUCUGCAUCUUCUGUACUAGCACUAUUAGAUCUAAUCCAGGACUGAACUGGCUCUAUAUCAAGUUUUAUACCAGAACUACAUUUGGAUUAAACCUAGACUAGAAUAUUCCAGGUUGAUAUUCCAGAUUUAAACCAAAACUAAACUAGUAAUAAACCAGAAAACUAAUGGACAAAUGGACUAAACCAGGUCAAAACUUGGAACAAUUCUAAACCAGGACAAAAAUGUUUGGAUCAGUUUGGAUUUAAAAUGAACUAGGUAAGAACUAAUCUAAAGAUUUGGCACUAAACCAUCUCUAAACGAAAACCAGGACUAAACCAAGACUAAACCAGGAUUUUAAAAAUACAUUACCAAUCCAACAAUAAAGUCAGGAAAAAGUGAACUAAAUAAAGUCUAAAUAAAUAAAUCAGUACUAAACUUAGACUAGAAUGUUCCAGGUUAAACCUAGAUUUAACCCAAAAUGAAACUAGUUCUAAAUCAGUGUUUAAACAAACAACCAGAACUAUACCAUAAUUAGGUCUAUCAAAACAAAUGGACUAAACUAGGUCAAAACCCAGAUUGGUUCCAAACCAAAACAAAAUUUAAGAUCAAUUUGGAUUUAACAUGAUCCGAACCAAAAUUAACUAGGUAAGAACGAAUUCAGAGACUAGCACAAACCAUCUCUAGACCAAAACCAGGACUAAACCAGGAUGAUGUCAGAAAAAACACAACUAGUAAAAUUUAUAAGGCCAGGACAUUACUAAGACUAAACCUAGACUAGAAUAUUCCAAAUUUAAAACUAAACCAGUACUACAGGUAAACCAGUCUUGAACUAAAUCCAAGACUAACAGGAAAAAGUAGCAUACCACUACUACUGUAACAAAAAAAAACAGGUCUAUACUAGUCCUAAACCAAGACUAUAAGCGGUUUCAACAUAUUCCACCUCACAGUCUCGCCCCUGAACGCAGCAUGUCAGAUGUGCUUCCUCUUAUUAGCAGUACAAACCCACACACUCACAGUAUCCACUUAUUGUCAGUGUAGUUUAAACCAGAGGAGCUGACGGACCUCCAGGCCAAAGCAUCGAUCCCCUCCCCGCAUCUCUCCUCUCUCUUCUGUGUAAAUCGCUUCUAGCCUCUUAGAUCCUUUGCAUUCACAUAACUGCAGGCUGAAAGCUGACUCCUGCAAUGAUGCUUGGCUUUCUCAGCUCCGGUGAGAUGAACCAGGCACUGAGUAAAAUGUAUUCAAAUGGCCACUUAGGCUGUAGUCGACAAAAAAAUAAAUCUUGGUUGACUAAAGAAAUGUUCUUUGCAUUGAUGAAUCUAUUAAAAAGGAGUAAGGCAUAGUGCUGAUCUUAAAUUAUUACAAUCUUGCACAAAAAACACUGUGAAUAUAUAGAGAAGUAGUAAUAAAUAAAACAAAAAUGAACAAAUGAAAAGGCAGAUUUAACCAAAACUCAACUCUCUCCAAAUCUGUAGUUUUGCUUAUAAAUCCUUAUAAUCAUCUCAUCUGAGGUUUGAUCUGUGGAGAGGCGACUCUGCUUACGGUAUGAAUGCAGGCAUCAGUGUAUUUAUUAUUCAGCAACUCUUGUAACUGAAUACAUACAAGAUAUAUCACUGUAAUGCCAUACUUUGGAACAUUCAAGAAAAAGCUGUAACAUAUCCACUGGGACAAAGAGAUGGCAAACCCCCACCCGAAAAGUUACGUACCACGCCUUUACAGGUUGUAUUUUUUAUCUAUUUUUCAAAGUAUUCAUGCAAGGACUUAGUAAUUAUUAGUAAAAGUAAUCGCUCUCAUUGUCAAAUUAAGAAACGCCCAUGGAGACUAUUGCGCAAGGCUACAAAGCUACAACCUCCCCUGUAAACAAAGAUUUUCAAGUAUUAAUAUUUUUUUGUAUCUCGUAUUAACUUCAGACAAAAUUGAAAUCAUAAUUGUUUUCUUUAUCCCACAAGGACCCAAAAUGUAAAAUCAAAUCUUGACUAGCAAAAUUACUACACUUGUUAUAUCAAAAAUCGCCUCAAUAUCUUAACAUUGCUUUUAGCUUGUUUAAUCGGCAGACUGAGCUCCAUUGGGAAUUCAUUGCGAAGGGGAGUUUUAAAUUGUACAACUAAGCCUUUUAUCAGCUUACAAAGUACAGUAUCUCUAUAGUUCAGCACUUGGAUACGGGCCAGCAAUUGUUAGGGACAGAAUUAAAAACUUUCCCAAGGGAGUUUUAAAAAUAUAAUUGUUUGAUUAUGAAUACACUUGUUGAAUGUGUAUGUUGCCCUAUAUACUAUAAUGAGUAGAAUAUAUUACAUAACUUGUUCACAGGAAAUGAUUACGUUUUAAAGUUUCGUUUCAGUGCCACUACAGAAGACAGAUUGUUCCAGAUGAUGCCAAGAUGUCUGUGUAUAUGUGGCUCGGAGAACAAGACAUGAGUCCUGGAGGAAGCCUGCGUCACCGUUCACCACCAGCAGACGUCAACUCCUGCGUCCUCACUCGCUUCUCGUAGCCGGGGGACACGUUUUAUCAUCCUAUUGUUUUUCCAAAGGUGUUUAUAGAGGAGCAGAAGUCGGGACUCUGAGUUAAAGUUUUUAAUGAGUCUUUCAGCAGGACACCUCCUCGGAGCAGAUGUGCCUCCCCUGGAAGCUGGUUUCAGAUGGUGGCGUAGAGUCAUGUCAUCCAUCUAGCACCAUUUGAAAUCAGUGUUCUUGGGGCCAGAGCUUUGUUUCACAGCAACAGUGGAGACACAACUGGAGGAGAGCAAAGACGGGGAAAAAUUUAGCUAAAAUUUAACUAGUAAGAUUGUAUUUCCUUCCUCAUUCAUACUUUUAGUUCUUUGUGAAAGCCUGUGUUUACAUUCACACCGUAAUCUGAUUAUAAUGUGAUUUCUGGACCGUUAAGAUUAUCUAAGUGACACGCAAACUGCAAAAUGUGAUUAAUAAGUGAGUAAUAAGAAGGGCCAUGCUUUGCUGUUUAUACCAGAGUCCUGCACCGGGUCGGGGAUCUGCAAAUAGUUGCUGAAAUGGACGGGUUUUAACAUUUUGGAAUUUUACAGGCGGGUAUGCGGGCGGGUAGUGAUUACACACGGGCGGGUCAGGACUAAAUCUGGACUAAACCAGGACUAAACCAGGACUACACCAGGACUACACCAGGACUACAUAAGGUCUAAACCAGGUCUAAACCAGGACUAACCCAGGACUAAAACCAGGACUAAACCAGGUCUAUACCAGGACUAUACAGGACAUGAGAGAGAGCAGGGUGUCCACAAAAUGCGGGCGCGGUUGUAUUUAGCCCUGUGGGGCGUGGAGCUCUGUGCCAGUCCUUUCACCCACAGUCGCCCAACGGUCUACGCAGGUGCCCGUCCCGACAGUCAGUCCUAGUUUAGUCCUGGUUCAGUCCUACUUCAGUCCUGGUUUAGUCCUCCUGGUUCAGUCCUAGGUUAAUCCUGGUUUAGUCCUGGUUGAGUCCGUGGCAGGUGCGCCGCAAAAGUGCAGCAUCUCAAUAGAUGUUUCUUCUGCUCAGGAACUAAUACCUGUGAAGUGAUGACGGAUUUUUGACAUUAGAGUCGCGUCUGUGAAUUUGUAUUCGUAAUGAAGAAAGUGUAAUCGUUUCAUUUCGUGACUGUAAUUCUUUUUUUGUCACUUAAUUUUUAUGAAGUAUUUUAUACAAUAACAAAACAGGCACAGCAAGGAAUUUAACAUACAUUUUAGAUGGGAAAAAUAUAUAUAUAAUAUAUAUAUAAUACACACACACACACACACACAUAUAUAUAUAUAUAUAUAGAUAGAUAGAUAUAUAGAUAGAUAGAUAUAUAUAUACACAUACACAUCACAUACACAUAUAUACACAUCACUCAGACAUAUUACCCUGAAAUGCUAUUGUUUUAUGGGUACUUAGCUGGAGCAGUACUAACUUAACUAAACUUCACUGCGAUAUUUAGACCAUUUAGCCCAUCUUGCAUAAUAAACAUCAGCUUUAAGCCUUAGCAUGUAUGUCAGAUGUUCCAUUUUAUGAGUUUCUUCAAUCAUUUUUAACCAGUCUUCUAGCAUAGGAGGAUCUGGUUGAAGCCAUUUACGUGUAAUUGCCUUUUUCAUGAUUGUAAUUCUUAAAGUCGUAACUUUUCAAUUUGUAUUCUGAUGGAUGCUUCAGUUAGAAUGCUUUUAAUCUGUGUGGGAUUUAUCACGGGUCUAGGUGGGUGUGGAUUUAACUUUGAUAUAUUCAUGGGUCCAAAAAUGGACCCGUGCAGGACUCUGAUUUAUACAUGCCAAUUUUGUAGUCUUAUAAGUCAACAGAAAUGUAACUGUAAACAGAUUGAGUGUGCUGUCAGACAAUCACAGCCCCUCAUCUUUGACUUUCAACCAAUUAUCUCUCAAGCCAUCUCUGUUAGUAUAAAUAUACUACGAGCACAUCUCAUUUCACUUUCCUCGCUUCCUUCUCCUUGAUUCCUCUCCAUGAUCCUCCAUUUUUCAGCUGUCAAUCAAAUGUGUCGUAUUAAGUAAUGUCCCAAAGAAAACCAAGGAUUGAAGGAGCAAACAUGAGAUAAAAUUUGAAAUUUGUGUAAUUAGAAUGAGAAAAUAUAACUUGAUGAUUUUGUAGUGGCAACAUGCAGACUUACUAGACAAACUUACAAGAAGAUAACCCAAAACUUUGUGCUAUGACACUUAAAAUACAACAUACAACAUAAUUAAAAGCAUUGUGUUUCAAUCAUCAGUAUUAUCCAGCAUGUUUGUGUUUUGUAUUUUAUUGUUACCCUAAUAUUACUAGCAUUGUUAUGUUGUGGGGUCUAAGCACCAAAGUUCAUUCAUUCAUUAACUUUUCUUUGCAUCUCAUUCAUUUGUCUGUGCCCAAGUCUCUCCAGGUUGAAAUGAUGACCUUUCCCAACAGAAGAACUCACUUCCAGAAGUGUCCUCUCUCCAAGGUUGACCGAUUUCUCUUGGGGCUUGAGUUUUUAAAAAUUUCUAGCACCAUUUGAAAUCGGUUACAAUGAAGGACAGUAUCAGCUCACAAAGGGGGAUGGAUGUCUCUGUCAACCUGUGCAACAAGUCUAACUACACUGUUUUAUUGUUAGGGCUGAGUUCAGUGGUGGAAUGUAACAAAGUAAAAGUAGUAAAGUACUGUAUUUACUUAAGGAGAUUUUAAAGUGGUUACUUUUUACUUUUACUUCACUACAUUGGAGAACAGAUAUUUGUACUUUCUCCUCCAUUACAUUUUUUAACUGAAAAUUAAACGUAUUUUUAUGAUUGUCUGAGACCUGCUGAGGUCUCACAUUUGUAGUUUGAACAAAUAAAAAUACACACACACACAAAACAGCAAAGCAAAAAAAAAUUUGAUUCUAUUGUUUUUAUUGAACUAAAUUCAAAUACAAAGCUUUAUCAACAUCUCUACAUUUGAAGUGUUACUAGAUCUCAAAACCUGUGUGAAAUAAUUUCACUGUUUACCCCUUAAGUACUUUUUUAAACAGGUACUUUACCAAAGUGGUUUUUUUCAUGUGAUUUUUUUUUUUUUUUUUUUUUUUUUUGCUCUGGGAUCUACUUUUUGAAAGAAAUAUCCAAACUUAUGAAAUUUGGGAACUGGCUCCACAAACUUGACAUAUUAAUCGUUAAGCUUUAAGUUUUUUCAACUGACAAUGGUCACAUCUUUGGGGUUGAAUAAUGGUGCCACCUUCUGAAGCUACAGAGAAAAAAUAAUUUUGUUAUAUGUGGACAGGCCCAGUAAUUACAGAGAUAUGAACAAUCUCUUGUUAAUAUUCUGUAGUCUAGAUAUUGGUAAUAAAUUAUUUAAAUUACUGAUCUGUUUAUCUCAACUGUUUAAAUGUUUAACUCAACUCAAGGUACUUUGUAUCAGUUUCCACUAGAUGGCGCCAUUUGCAUUAAGACUACAUGUGCUUCAUGACUAAUUUUCCGCCUACACACAGUCAUUGAUUUGAUUGUGAAGUUGUACACACUUAUCUUUCACAAAGGUUUCGUUUUCUGGGCAUAUAAUCUAUGUAGACAGUAACGACUUAUAAAUCAUCAAAUAAAAAUGAAUGAAAAUGA
Molecule: long non-coding RNA, 7810 nt
Organism: Boleophthalmus pectinirostris (great blue-spotted mudskipper)
Lineage: Eukaryota; Metazoa; Chordata; Actinopteri; Gobiiformes; Gobiidae
Exons: 4
Source: RefSeq, a predicted model, not a curated record